This 500-nucleotide ribosomal RNA is filed under the name uncultured bacterium. Its description in RNAcentral is "partial 16S ribosomal RNA". It matches the Rfam family "Bacterial small subunit ribosomal RNA", at positions 30 to 523 of the family's 1533-position model. The record is from RNAcentral.
AUUGAACGCUGGCGGCAUGCUUUACACAUGCAAGUCGAACGGUAACAGGGUGCUUGCACCGCUGACGAGUGGCGAACGGGUGAGUAAUGCGUCGGAACGUGCCGAGUAGUGGGGGAUAACGCAGCGAAAGUUGUGCUAAUACCGCAUACGUACUGAGGUAGAAAGUGGGGGACCUUCGGGCCUCACGCUAUUCGAGCGGCCGACGUCUGAUUAGCUAGUAGGUGAGGUAAAGGCUCACCUAGGCGACGAUCAGUAGCGGGUCUGAGAGGAUGAUCCGCCACACGUGGACUGAGACACGGCCCAGACUCCUACGGGAGGCAGCAGUGGGGAAUUUUGGACAAUGGGCGAAAGCCUGAUCCAGCCAUGCCGCGUGUCUGAAGAAGGCCUUCGGGUUGUAAAGUACUUUCAGCGGGGAGGAAGGCGGUGAGGUUAAUAACCUCACCGAUUGACGUUACCCGCAGAAGAAGCACCGGCUAACUCCGUGCCAGCCGCCGCAGUAA